ACUUAAAUAGCUUAUGUUUAUUUAGAGCGCAACACUGAAGAUGUUGAUGUGGUAUUUUGUUACCUUUAAGUG
This 72-nucleotide transfer RNA is filed under the name Microtermes obesi. RNAcentral's name for it is "tRNA-Phe". Lineage: Eukaryota; Metazoa; Arthropoda; Insecta; Blattodea; Termitidae. The record is from RNAcentral.